UCAGAGAGUUUGAUCCUGGCUCAGGAUGAACGCUAGCGGCAGGCUUAACACAUGCAAGUCGAGGGGCGAUCGGGAGGGAGCUUGCUUCCUUGCCGGCGACCGGCGCACGGGUGAGUAACACGUAUGCAACCUGCCCUCUUCAGGGGGACAACCUUCCGAAAGGGAGGCUAAUCCCGCGUAUAUCGGUUUCGGGCAUCCGAGAUCGAGGAAAGAUUCAUCGGAAGAGGAUGGGCAUGCGGCGCAUUAGCUUGACGGCGGGGUAACGGCCCACCGUGGCGACGAUGCGUAGGGGUUCUGAGAGGAAGGUCCCCCACAUUGGUACUGAGACACGGACCAGACUCCUACGGGAGGCAGCAGUGAGGAAUAUUGGUCAAUGGGAGAGAUCCUGAACCAGCCAAGCCGCGUGAGGGAAGACGGCCCUAUGGGUUGUAAACCUCUUUUGUCGGAGAACAAAACCCGGGACGUGUCCCGGACUGCGUGUAUCCGAAGAAAAAGCAUCGGCUAACUCCGUG
RNAcentral lists this ribosomal RNA (512 nucleotides) under uncultured Bacteroidales bacterium. RNAcentral's name for it is "bacterial SSU rRNA". It matches the Rfam family "Bacterial small subunit ribosomal RNA", at positions 1 to 507 of the family's 1533-position model. The record is from RNAcentral. Lineage: Bacteria; Pseudomonadati; Bacteroidota; Bacteroidia; Bacteroidales.